GGAGAGUUAGCUCUUGGCUCAGAUUGAACGCUGGCGGCAGGCCUAACACAUGCAAGUCGAGCGGUAGCACAGAGAGCUUGCUCUCGGGUGACGAGCGGCGGACGGGUGAGUAAUGUCUGGGAAACUGCCUGAUGGAGGGGGAUAACUACUGGAAACGGUAGCUAAUACCGCAUAACGUCGCAAGACCAAAGUGGGGGACCUUCGGGCCUCAUGCCAUCAGAUGUGCCCAGAUGGGAUUAGCUAGUAGGUGGGGUAACGGCUCACCUAGGCGACGAUCCCUAGCUGGUCUGAGAGGAUGACCAGCCACACUGGAACUGAGACACGGUCCAGACUCCUACGGGAGGCAGCAGUGGGGAAUAUUGCACAAUGGGCGCAAGCCUGAUGCAGCCAUGCUGCGUGUGUGAAGAAGGCCUUCGGGUUGUAAAGCACUUUCAGCGGGGAGGAAGGCGGUGAGGUUAAUAACCUCAUCGAUUGACGUUACCCGCAGAAGAAGCACCGGCUAACUCCGUGCCAGCAGCCGCGGUAAUACGGAGGGUGCAAGCGUUAAUCGGAAUUACUGGGCGUAAAGCGCACGCAGGCGGUCUGUCAAGUCGGAUGUGAAAUCCCCGGGCUCAACCUGGGAACUGCAUUCGAAACUGGCAGGCUAGAGUCUUGUAGAGGGGGGUAGAAUUCCAGGUGUAGCGGUGAAAUGCGUAGAGAUCUGGAGGAAUACCGGUGGCGAAGGCGGCCCCCUGGACAAAGACUGACGCUCAGGUGCGAAAGCGUGGGGAGCAAACAGGAUUAGAUACCCUGGUAGUCCACGCCGUAAACGAUGUCGAUUUGGAGGUUGUGCCCUUGAGGCGUGGCUUCCGGAGCUAACGCGUUAAAUCGACCGCCUGGGGAGUACGGCCGCAAGGUUAAAACUCAAAUGAAUUGACGGGGGCCCGCACAAGCGGUGGAGCAUGUGGUUUAAUUCGAUGCAACGCGAAGAACCUUACCUGGUCUUGACAUCCACAGAACUUUCCAGAGAUGGAUUGGUGCCUUCGGGAACUGUGAGACAGGUGCUGCAUGGCUGUCGUCAGCUCGUGUUGUGAAAUGUUGGGUUAAGUCCCGCAACGAGCGCAACCCUUAUCCUUUGUUGCCAGCGGUUAGGCCGGGAACUCAAAGGAGACUGCCAGUGAUAAACUGGAGGAAGGUGGGGAUGACGUCAAGUCAUCAUGGCCCUUACGACCAGGGCUACACACGUGCUACAAUGGCAUAUACGAAGAGAAGCGACCUCGCGAGAGCAAGCGGACCUCAUAAAGUAUGUCGUAGUCCGGAUUGGAGUCUGCAACUCGACUCCAUGAAGUCGGAAUCGCUAGUAAUCGUAGAUCAGAAUGCUACGGUGAAUACGUUCCCGGGCCUUGUACACACCGCCCGUCACACCAUGGGAGUGGGUUGCAAAAGAAGUAGGUAGCUUAACCUUCGGGAGGGCGCUUACCACUUUGUGAUUCAUGACUGGGGUGAAGUCGUAACAAGGUAACCGUAGGGGAACCUGCGGCUGGAUCACCUCCUU
This 1534-nucleotide ribosomal RNA is filed under the name Klebsiella pneumoniae. RNAcentral describes it as "bacterial SSU rRNA". It matches the Rfam family "Bacterial small subunit ribosomal RNA". The record is from RNAcentral. Lineage: Bacteria; Pseudomonadati; Pseudomonadota; Gammaproteobacteria; Enterobacterales; Enterobacteriaceae.